CUGUGCGUAUUCCGCGCGAAACCGAAAACAAGACAGACAGCGACACCCCAAAACGGCGGCGGUUGGCGCGCAGUGUCACCAGAGACGCGGUCCUCUGCACCCUUGCCCACCCACCCAAGUCGGCCCAGCCAUCCUUCGGCCACGGGCAACUCUUCUUUCUGUCGGCUGGCGGUGACAGUGCGCGUGCAUGCAUGCAGUGAUCCGGCGACGACGAGAAACUAUUAAAGACGACCACGUGCAAGCGUGUCUGUGCCGCCUGAUCGCCCUCUCUCCUGCGCCGUCGAAAGAGCAGUCGUAGAAGCAGCCCCCGCAGCCGUAUUACACACACACACACACACACACGUGCUUCGGAACAGCAGCGCAUCAUGUCUCUCUAUGGCGCUCGCGAGAGUGGCGGUGACGAGAUGUUGACGCCAGGCAUCACCGGCAUGAGCGGCAACUACCGAAACGAGAGCAACUGCCACCGCUUCUGGAAUCGGCUCAUGACGUGCAUGCGGGAGAGUCAAGAGCUGGAUGUGCUGUACGACUGCCGUAGCCGCAUGCUAGACAUGCGGGAGUGCGUCGUGCGUCACAAGCAGUCAACGUGGGUGAUGCGCGAAACAAUGACGUCCAUCCGCCACGAGGGCGAACUCCGCAAGUGGCUGCGUGACUAUGAUGAGAAGAUGGGGCAUCCGCCCCUGCUGGAGGCGGUGGCGGCAGUGCGCAAGAAGGUGGACGCCGAGGGCGGCGUGGACAUUAUGAACCCGACGGUCUUCAAGGACCCUGACAUGUACAUCCCGCGCAGAGCGAAGGUAGCGUCUGCUGGCAGGUGAGCGGUGCUCAGUCGGAAAAGGCAGAUAUGCAGUGAUGAUGGAUGACAGCACGCCACGGUGUCGAGUCCCCCUUAUCGUGAUGUCGGUGAAUGUUUUCGUGUGUGUGUGCGUCGGUUGGGCGGUUCACCGCCGUAGUGUGGGUCGCAUUGGCGGCGGUGCCGCGCCUUUUCGUGUUAGCGGAAGUUGUAUCGAUGUAGAGAUGGAAAGUGUGUACGGGGGUAUCUCUGCAUGAGGCAUGCUCUCUAGCCAGUGUUGGCGGCCGUUGCGCUGCCCCCCCCCCUCCUCUCCCCGUUUCCAGCUCCUCGCACCCCUCCUUCUCCUCCUCGUUCGUGUCGUCGCUGUCGCAAUGGCCGUCGCCGUGUGUGUGAUAGUUCGGUCUUGUGUUGCUCCCGUCUGUGGCGGCGUGCGCUUCACUCUGUUCUCGGCGUGUUUUUGCUUCACUGUUGCCUUGUGUGUGCGCGCGUGGUCAAAAAAAAAGAGCGAGAGAAGAGACGGGGUCGGCCACGCCGACCGUAUCGCCAUCCCUGGAUGCGCAGCGGUCCCUUCACCCUCCCCGAGGGGGGCGAGCGCGUGGUAGCGUGCCCAACAAAGGGUGCCGGUGCGCUCUCGCAGCACCACAAACACACACGCUAACGCACGUGUGCACGUUCAAGGAGAGAAGGCGGAGCGCCCAUGAAAGCGCGCUGUCAGAUUUGCACAACCGUGGCCCGCAAGGCAUCACAGCGAUGACACCCCUCUCAACGACCUAUGCCACGCCUACCAUCUCAUCGCCCUCACUGUCUCUCUCUCUCUCUCUUCGCCCUAUCUCGAUCCCUUACCUUUCCCAUGCCCGUUGCGCAUACACACACACGCACACGUCAG
RNAcentral lists this unclassified non-coding RNA (1673 nucleotides) under Leishmania donovani. RNAcentral's name for it is "gene:LdHU3.04.1170(CDS-product:Cytochrome_c_oxida se_biogenesis_protein_Cmc1_like_putative)". The record is from RNAcentral. Lineage: Eukaryota; Euglenozoa; Kinetoplastea; Trypanosomatida; Trypanosomatidae.